RNAcentral lists this ribosomal RNA (253 nucleotides) under uncultured bacterium. Its description in RNAcentral is "partial 16S ribosomal RNA". It matches the Rfam family "Bacterial small subunit ribosomal RNA", at positions 524 to 776 of the family's 1533-position model. The record is from RNAcentral.
UACGUAGGUGACCAGCGUUGUCCGGAUUUACUGGGCGUAAAGGGCGCGUAGGCGGCCUUCUAAGUCGAACGUGAAAUCCCCGGGCUCAACCCGGGAACUGCGUCCGAUACUGGAAGGCUUGAAUCCGGGAGAGGGAUGCGGAAUUCCAGGUGUAGCGGUGAAAUGCGUAGAUAUCUGGAGGAACACCGGUGGCGAAGGCGGCAUCCUGGACCGGCAUUGACGCUGAGGCGCGAAAGCCAGGGGAGCAAACGGG